CCUACGGGUGGCAGCAGUGAGGAAUAUUGGUCAAUGGACGAGAGUCUGAACCAGCCAAGUAGCGUGAAGGAUGACUGCCCUAUGGGUUGUAAACUUCUUUUAUAUGGGAAUAAAAUGUUCCACGUGUGGGAUUUUGUAUGUACCAUAUGAAUAAGGAUCGGCUAACUCCGUGCCAGCAGCCGCGGUAAUACUGCGGAUCCGAGCGUUAUCCGGAUUUAUUGGGUUUAAAGGGAGCGUAGGUGGAUUGUUAAGUCAGUUGUGAAAGUUUGCGGCUCAACCGUAAAAUUGCAGUUGAAACUGGCAGUCUUGAGUACAGUAGAGGUGGGCGGAAUUCGUGGUGUAGCGGUGAAAUGCUUAGAUAUCACGAAGAACUCCGAUUGCGAAGGCAGUUCACUGGACUGCAACUGACACUGAGGCUCGAAAGUGUGGGUAUCAAACAGGAUUAGAUACCCCAGUAGUC
This 460-nucleotide ribosomal RNA is filed under the name uncultured bacterium. RNAcentral describes it as "partial 16S ribosomal RNA". It matches the Rfam family "Bacterial small subunit ribosomal RNA", at positions 338 to 795 of the family's 1533-position model. The record is from RNAcentral.